Molecule: non-coding RNA, 28 nt
Filed under: Rattus norvegicus (Norway rat)
Lineage: Eukaryota; Metazoa; Chordata; Mammalia; Rodentia; Muridae
Source: RNAcentral
UAAACAUUGGCAACCCUAUGUGAGUCCC